GCCGGGCCUGGUGGCUCGUGCCUGACAUCCCAGCGACUCAGGAGGCCGAGGCAGGAGGAUCUCGAGUUCCAAGCCAGCCUCAGCAAUUGCUGAGGCUGAGGCCCUGAGCAACUCAGGGAGACCUUGUCUCUA
Molecule: small RNA, 132 nt
Filed under: Marmota monax (woodchuck)
Lineage: Eukaryota; Metazoa; Chordata; Mammalia; Rodentia; Sciuridae
Source: RNAcentral